This 367-nucleotide ribosomal RNA is filed under the name Metacrinus levii. Its description in RNAcentral is "partial 16S ribosomal RNA". It matches the Rfam family "Bacterial large subunit ribosomal RNA", at positions 2100 to 2626 of the family's 2925-position model. The record is from RNAcentral. Lineage: Eukaryota; Metazoa; Echinodermata; Crinoidea; Isocrinida; Isocrinidae.
UUAAAACUAACUACAAAAAACAUUAAACUUUUUAAAGCUAAUAAAACAAAACUACUAACACUCACUGUUUUUAUUGUAGAGAUUUUUGGUUGGGGCAACCGCGAAGAAAAAGAAACCUUCGCCAAAAUAAAAAGAUAAACAAAUCAAAAAGCAAGCCCAAAGCUAUAUAUAAAUGACCCGGUAAAACCGAUCAAGGAAAAAAGUUACCGCAGGGAUAACAGCGUUAUUCUUUCUGAGAGCCCUUAUUGACGAAAGAGUUUGCGACCUCGAUGUUGGACCGGGGCAUCCAAGAGGUGUAGCAGCCUCUCAGGGUAGGUCUGUUCGACCUUUAAAGCCCUACGUGAUCUGAGUUCAGACCGACGCAAGU